UGUGGUAGUGUGAGGACAAGUGGUCAGGAGGUUACCGGAGAGAGGUGAGGCAGAGACGCAAAAACAGUCUGGAACCAGGUACCCCCAGGCUCCCCUGCCCCAGGACACCCCUUGGUCUCUACCCAGACCUUAAGGACCCGGGUGGCUCGCGCGCCGCCAUUUCCACAGGAUCCAGGUACCCCCAGGCUCCCCUGCCCCAGGACACCCCUUGGUCUCUACCCAGACCUUAAGGACCCGGGUGGCUCGCGCGCCGCCAUUUCCACAGGAUCCAGG
Long non-coding RNA from Astyanax mexicanus (Mexican tetra), 273 nucleotides. RefSeq lists it as uncharacterized. The transcript is spliced from 3 exons. NCBI's taxonomy places the organism in Eukaryota, Metazoa, Chordata, Actinopteri, Characiformes, Acestrorhamphidae. The record is from RefSeq and is a predicted model, not a curated record.